CCCUUAGAUGUCCUGGGCCGCACGCGCGUUACACUGAUGCAUUCAACGAGCUUAUAACCUUGGCCGAGAGGCCUGGGCAAUCUUGUUAACGUGCAUCGUGAUAGGGAUAGAUUAUUGAAAUUAUUAAUCUUGAACGAGGAAUUCCUAGUAAACGCAGAUCAUCAAUCUGCAUUGAUUACGUCCCUGCCCUUUGUACACACCGCCCGUCGCACCUACCGAUUGGAUGGUCCGGUGAAGCCUCGGGAUUGUGGUUCUCGCCGCUUUAUUGUGGCGUGACCGCGAGAACUUGUCUAAACCUUAUCAUCUAGAGGAAGGUGAAGUCGUAACA
This 328-nucleotide ribosomal RNA is filed under the name uncultured eukaryote. RNAcentral describes it as "partial 18S ribosomal RNA". It matches the Rfam family "Eukaryotic small subunit ribosomal RNA", at positions 1470 to 1796 of the family's 1831-position model. The record is from RNAcentral.